GUGCGGCGCGAUUCGCCCUUGGGUUCGAUUCCGGAGAGGGAGCCUGAGAGAUGGCUACCACAUCCAAGGAAGGCAGCAGGCGCGUAAAUUGCCCGAAUCCUGACACAGGGAGGUAGUGACAAGAAAUAACAAUACAGGGCUUCUAAAGUCUUGUAAUUGGAAUGAGUACAAUUUACAUCUCUUCACGAGGAUCAAUUGGAGGGCAAGUCUGGUGCCAGCAGCCGCGGUAAUUCCAGCUCCAAUAGCGUAUAUUAAAGUUGUUGCAGUUAGAACGCUCGUAGUCGGAUUUCGGGGCGGGCCGACCGGUCUGCCGAUGGGUACGCACUGGUCGGCGCGUCCUUCCUUCCGGAGACCGUGCCUACUCUUAACUGAGCGGGGGCGGGAGACGGAUCGUUUACUUUGAAAAAAUCAGAGUGUUUCAAGCAGGCAGCUCGCUCUUGCAUGGAUUAGCAUGGGAUAAUGAAAUAGGACUUUGGUGCUAUUUUGUUGGUUUCGAACACCGAAGUAAUGAUUAACAGGGACAGUCAGGGGCACUCGUAUUCCGCCGAGAGAGGUGAAAUUCUCAGACCAGCGGAAGACGAACUACUGCGAAAGCAUUUGCCAGGGAUGUUUUCACUGAUCAAGAACGAAAGUUAGGGGAUCGAAGACGAUCAGAUACCGUCGUAGUCUUAACCAUAAACCAUGCCGACUAGGGAUUGGAGGAUGUUCUCUUUAUGACUCCUUCAGCACCUUACGGGAAACUAAAGUCUUUGGGUUCCGGGGGGAGUAUGGUCGCAAGGCUGAAACUUAAAGGAAUUGACGGAAGGGCACCACCAGGUGUGGAGCCUGCGGCUUAAUUUGACUCACACGCAAG
RNAcentral lists this ribosomal RNA (853 nucleotides) under uncultured eukaryote. RNAcentral's name for it is "SSU rRNA". It matches the Rfam family "Eukaryotic small subunit ribosomal RNA", at positions 370 to 1209 of the family's 1831-position model. The record is from RNAcentral.